ACAUAGCCACUAGAAAACACAAACAUUAGAGGUAAUACCUGCCCGGUGAGGACCAACCCUUUAACGGCCGCAGAAAUAAGCUGCGCAAAGGUAGCAUAAUCACUUGUCCCCCAAAUAGGGACCCGUAUGAAAGGUCACAUGAGAAAGAACCUGUCUCCCAAGGCCAGUCAAUGAAACUGAUCUGCCAGUACAAAAGCUGGCAUAAAAAAAUAGGACAAAAAGACCCUGUGAAACUUAAAAUUUACACAACACCUAAUUGAAUAAAAUUUUUAGUUGGGGCAACUUAAGAAAAACAAAACUUNUUCACCACAACCAAGGCCAACAAGCCUAAGACCACAACCUCACAUCAUGACCCAGUACUACCAACUGAUCAAAGAACCAAGCUACUCCAGGGAUAACAGCGCCACACUCUUGAAAAGUCCAUAUUAACAAGAGUACCUACGACCUCGAUGUUGGAUCAGGGCAACCCGAUGGUGAAAAAGCUAUCAAAGGUUCGUUUGUUCAACGAUUAAAGCCCUACGUGAUCU
RNAcentral lists this ribosomal RNA (527 nucleotides) under Saara hardwickii (Indian spiny-tailed lizard). Its description in RNAcentral is "partial 16S ribosomal RNA". It matches the Rfam family "Bacterial large subunit ribosomal RNA", at positions 1813 to 2606 of the family's 2925-position model. The record is from RNAcentral. Lineage: Eukaryota; Metazoa; Chordata; Lepidosauria; Squamata; Agamidae.